CUCAUUAAAUCAGUUAUAGUUUAUUUGAUGGUCUCUUUUGUCUUUUUUUACCUACUUGGAUAACCGUGGUAAUUCUAGAGCUAAUACAUGCGCAAGGUCCCGAGCGCGGGGGGCGGGGCUUCACGGCCCUGUCCUCGCAUGCGCAGAGGGAUGUAUUUAUUAGGUUAAACAACCAGCAUUUUUUCAUUUCUGGUGAUUCAUAGUAACUCUUUCGGAUCGCAUUCAUG
This 227-nucleotide ribosomal RNA is filed under the name uncultured Acanthamoeba. RNAcentral's name for it is "partial 18S ribosomal RNA". It matches the Rfam family "Eukaryotic small subunit ribosomal RNA", at positions 97 to 279 of the family's 1831-position model. Lineage: Eukaryota; Discosea; Longamoebia; Acanthamoebidae. The record is from RNAcentral.